Long non-coding RNA from Oreochromis aureus, 317 nucleotides. Lineage: Eukaryota; Metazoa; Chordata; Actinopteri; Cichliformes; Cichlidae. The record is from Ensembl.
GGUCAAUGCUUAAAUAUGUUCAAGGAGGAUCUCAAGGACAGGAUGAACCAUCCAGUAGUAGUGCCAUCCCUGGACAUCAACCACCAGCCAUUGUAGACCCUGCAACAAUCCCUAGCCAAGAAGAACAAGAACCAUCAACCACCAGUUCAGUUAUCGGAUGUGGAAAUGCAAGGACUGCAGCCUGUCAUUUUCAGGAAAAUCUGAGCUACUACAACAUUAUCGCCUUGAUCAUCGGUUUCAUGGCAGGCACCGUCCUUACCCAUGCAUUCAUGAAAAUUGCCCCUGUUCAUCCAGGACAUGGAACGGUCUACAAAAAC